This 352-nucleotide unclassified non-coding RNA is filed under the name soil metagenome. Its description in RNAcentral is "partial contains 5.8S ribosomal RNA, internal transcribed spacer 2, and large subunit ribosomal RNA". The stretch from base 1 to 120 matches the Rfam family "5.8S ribosomal RNA", at positions 35 to 154 of the family's 154-position model. The record is from RNAcentral.
GAUGAAGAACGUAGCGAAAUGCGAUACGUAGUGUGAAUUGCAGAAUUCAGUGAAUCAUCGAAUCUUUGAACGCACAUUGCGCCCGCCAGUAUUCUGGCGGGCAUGCCUGUUCGAGCGUCAUUUCAACCCUCAGGCCCCCAGUGCCUGGUGUUGGGGAUCGGCCCAGCCUUCCUGUAAGGCCGCCGGCCCCGAAAUCUAGUGGCGGUCUCGCUGUAGUCCUCCUCUGCGUAGUAGCACAACCUCGCAGUUGGAACGCGGCGGUGGCCAUGCCGUUAAACACCCCACUUCUGAAAGUUGACCUCGGAUCAGGUAGGAAUACCCGCUGAACUUAAGCAUAUCAAUAAGCGGAGGA